This 1501-nucleotide long non-coding RNA is filed under the name Equus asinus (donkey). RNAcentral describes it as "lncRNA (ENSEASG00005034391.1)". The record is from RNAcentral. Lineage: Eukaryota; Metazoa; Chordata; Mammalia; Perissodactyla; Equidae.
GAGAGGACUGGCCAGAAAAUCAGGGAUUGGCUACACUCAGAGGGUGUGAAAGGCUGCCUUUGCGGCCUGUGAGAUUCAUUCCAACCUGAGCCAAGGCAAAAAGAAGUUCAGGAUGGAGGGGUACAGCAUGGAGUGCUCUAGAGGCCUGAAGAUGAGCUUCUAGAAGAUGAUUUACCAGGACUUGAUUCUGAACUCAGCAUUUCUCCCAAGAGCACCAGUUCCGCCUAAUGAGGGCAACUCAAGCGAAUCCACAGGAAAGAAAAAGGAAAGUGAUAUUUUAAUUUUAUCCAGCCUGAAACACAACGGUACGCAAGGACGGUGCCUGCAAUUCUGACUCAUAAAUGUAUCAAUGCGUUAUUUUAUGGAAUAGAGACGUGUUCUGCCCAAAUUGGCUGUGAAGUGAAUAAACAUUAUUUUUCUACUGAAUUCAGCUAUAAAAUGACUAGAAGUCUUCCCACGGGGUUAGGAAAAAAAAGAAAGCAAAAAGCAGAAACCGACCGCCAGCGGGAAGAAAAGAAACGGCAUGGGGCCGACCGCGGCUGGCUUGCGAAGUGCAGAGGUGACUCCGUGCUCUCUGCGGCUGAUUUCUGUCGCUUUUUCCAAAUACCCCGACUGUAAAGAUCAUGCUCAUUUCCUCCCGCUUUGUUCUCCUUGUUUUCUUUUGAGGGGCUAUUAAACCCAGUGGAGCAGACUGCAAUAUUUUGCUUUACCUAGAGGUCCAUUUAACAUAAGCUUCAAGGGUUUGGCUGUAUAAACCCAGCAAUUUCCUACUUCAUCAUCGGUACAUUCACAGUUAUGCAGAUCCAGUCUCCUUGGAUGGGGAGCUGGGACCGCACCGUGCUUCAGCGCAUGGACUUCGCAGCCACACGGACCUGGGUUUGAGACAAAGCUCUGCCACUUAACGGUUACGUGAGUUUGGAGCUAUGAAAUCUCUGGGUCUCAGUUUCCACAUCUAUAUGGAGGAAGACUGUCCUUGAGUUACCAUCUGUGCCAAUCUUCCUCUAGUUUGUAUGUGGGACACGCCACAGCAUGGCUGAUGAGUGGUGUGUAGGUCCGUGCCUGGGAUCGGAACCCACAAAACCUGGGCUGCCAAAGCACAGCAUGUGAACUUAACUACUAUGCAACCGGGCCAGCCCCACAGAUUCCCUCAAUUUUUGACACGAGUGGAGAGAAACUGUGGCACACACAACAUGAAUCAUGUGGAGAGUGAACUCUUCGGUUCAGAACAGAAGGAGGUCUGUUCCGGUUACAGUAAUCUGACUGUGAUGUCAAUAACUAACCCCAGUGAAAUACACAGUGAAACACAUCAAUGCCAGACUGCCCUUACUGAAUCUGUAAUGGCCGCUUUCCGUCCUCCCCUUGCUUUUAGAUCCUCACUGCCAGGACGGAUUUCAGGGUCCAUCAUUUAAUCAGUUCCCUUGAUUCUCUCGUCUCUCUCGGCCUCCUGCCCACGGAGCUCAGCAAAGCCCAUUCUGCGUGGCCCAUCUGUCUUCUCUUGCCU